UGGGGGAUAUUGCACAAUGGAGGAAACUCUGAUGCAGCAAUGCCGCGUGAGGGAAGAAGGUCUUCGGAUUGUAAACCUAAGUAGACAGGGACGAUAAUGACGGUACCUGUAAAGUAAGCUCCGGCUAACUACGUGCCAGCAGCCGCGGUAAUACGUAGGGAGCGAGCGUUGUCCGGAAUUACUGGGUGUAAAGGGUGCGUAGGCGGGUCUGCAAGUCAGGUGUGAAAAUCCCGGGGCUUAACUCCGGAGCUACACUUGAAACUGUGGAUCUUGAGUGAAGUAGAGGCAAGCGGAAUUCCUAGUGUAGCGGUGAAAUGCGUAGAUAUUAGGAGGAACACCAGUGGCGAAGGCGGCUUGCUGGGCUUUAACUGACGCUGAGGCACGAAAGCAUGGGGA
RNAcentral lists this ribosomal RNA (396 nucleotides) under uncultured Ruminococcus sp. Its description in RNAcentral is "bacterial SSU rRNA". It matches the Rfam family "Bacterial small subunit ribosomal RNA", at positions 355 to 767 of the family's 1533-position model. The record is from RNAcentral. Lineage: Bacteria; Bacillati; Bacillota; Clostridia; Eubacteriales; Oscillospiraceae.